Molecule: ribosomal RNA, 498 nt
Filed under: uncultured bacterium
Lineage: Bacteria
Description: bacterial SSU rRNA
Rfam family: Bacterial small subunit ribosomal RNA
Source: RNAcentral
AUUGAACGCUGGCGGAAUGCUUUACACAUGCAAGUCGAACGGCAGCACGGGGCAACCUGGUGGCGAGUGGCGAACGGGUGAGUAAUACAUCGGAACGUGCCCAAUCGUGGGGGAUAACGUAGCGAAAGUUACGCUAAUACCGCAUACGAUCUACGGAUGAAAGCGGGGGAUCGCAAGACCUCGCGCGAAUGGAGCGGCCGAUGUCAGAUUAGGUAGUUGGUGGGGUAAAGGCUCACCAAGCCGACGAUCUGUAGCUGGUCUGAGAGGACGACCAGCCACACUGGGACUGAGACACGGCCCAGACUCCUACGGGAGGCAGCAGUGGGGAAUUUUGGACAAUGGGCGCAAGCCUGAUCCAGCCAUUCCGCGUGCAGGAUGAAGGCCUUCGGGUUGUAAACUGCUUUGUACGGAACGAAAUCGCACGGGUUAACACCGCGUGUGGAUGACGGUACCGGAAUAAGAAGCACCGGCUAACUACGUGCCAGCAGCCGCGGUAAU